UAUCCUCCUAUUUAUAGGUUAGAAAGAAUAAUAGAGUUGUUAAAAAAAAUUAUAUGUAACUAAUAGGGAUAUAAAGUUAAGUGUGCUACAUAUAGGUUAAUUGUUUGUUUUAUAUGUUUCAUGAAGUUCUCUUGACUAUCAUUUUCUUAGGCUUACAAAUAUUUGCAUGAGCUUAUACACUAAAGCCCAUCACGACAAAUAGCAGCCCAAUUAACAGUAUUCAUGCUUGUUUUAAUUGAAUGUCAUAUUGUUCCCCAAUGGGCUUUUGUAUGAGGGGCUAUGGUGUCACACGGAAGCAUUUUCUUCGAAGAUGGAUUAUUUUAUUGUCUCAUGGUGAAAGUGACAGCGUGAUAUCGUAAGAUGGCGAUAAAUGAUAAUUAUCUUGUCAGUACAUGAUCUUUGACAAUAACAAUAAGUGAACAAUACAUGAGGCGCGAAGGAUGUCACUCGGAACAAUAUAUAUGCAUGGGUAGGAUAUGUGCUAUCUGUUAUCAGCUAUACAUGCAUGCAUGGACCAAAUGGCAAUUGGCCGGAAUUACCAAAAUAAUAAUGCUAAGAUUUAUACGUAUAAACGAAAACAACGAAGUUACUUAGGAUACUUUGGGGAAUGUGAAAUAUUACAAGCAAUUGAAUGAAAAACUGUCUUCUGAAUACGCUAGCAAGAACGUAACCAACAAAUUUAUUACUCUUUAGCAUUUAGCAAUAGAAAAAACAACCUUCGUCCAUAAAAGAGAGGAGCAUGUUCUCACGCGCAGUAAAUUAGCGAGUAUUGAACCUUUUCUUUUCCUUACAGCGAAUCUUUAUUGUUUAUGCGUACACGAGUGCGUGUUAUAAGGGAAAAAGAAAACUAUUAGGAUAAACUUCAUUUGAAGUAAUGAAAUUAUUAGUAAAUUUAUAUUUUAAUUAUUAAAUUUUAAAAAUUUAUAAAAUAAUUAUUAAAUUAUGUAAAAAAAUUUAUUUAAGUUGUUGAUGUAUAACCUUUUAUAUUCGCAAUAAACUUUUAUUACAUUAAAAAAAAUUCUCAACAAUUAAUUUUUUAAAGAAUAAAUAUUUAGGAAGUUAAUAUAUUAUUGGUUGGGAGGGGUAAUGGUCUAAGACUUCCAUGAAAGUCUCAAAACAUUUAGUCAAGUCUCAAAACAAGCAAAGUUACCAAAGUUUUGUUCUAGAAGAACAAGUUCUCAAGACGUGAUCUUCAAGUUUUGAAACUUAUUCUUAAAUUGUAAGACCCAAUUUUAGCUCGGGCUACUUAAUUCCAGCCCAAUAAAUAAAACCCCAAAAAAAAAUCUAAAGAGAGUCUAAAAUUACAAAAACAACAAAUCCAAUUAUAAGCCCAAAAUAAACCUAACCUUACAGCCCAAACAGCCCAAAACUAAACUAACUUUUCAGCAAAAAAUAGAAUAGCUGCUGCACCCCUCCACCACGCACGUCGGCGCACCUCGCACGUCCGGCCAUCUCGCUUGUGGCACGACCCACGCCCCACGUUCACCAUACCUGCAACUAGUAGAAGCAAAGAAACCGUUGUAAAGUUGGCUAUAAAAAGGUCACGAAUUUUCAUUUGUAAGGGUUUUUUUUUUUGGAAAAAAAGAGAAUACAAGUUGUAAUAUAAAAUACACACAAAAAUCAGUAGAAAGGGACCAAAGAAUAUUUUCAAAGGUGAAUAUUUACUGCAGUUUUUUUUGUGUUGUUUCUUCUUUUUCCUUAUUUUUUCAUUUCCAUUCGGAUCCAUAUACAAAAAUAUAAAAAGAAAGAGGAGGGGAACUUACCGACGUGGCACAAGAGAAACCUUUGAAGUCGAAUUUUGGCUCAAAAUGGUGGUCUGUCGAAGAAGAGGAAAAGAGGAGAAAGUGAAGGAGAAAAGUUUCAAAACUUUAAGUUUUUUUUUUUAAGGAAAAAGUUUAAAUGUUUUCUAAAAAAAUGAUUUUUUAAAGCAGGUUUCAAUUUUAGGUAAUAAAGGGAACAACAUUAGGAGAAGGAACUGAUCGCCUUUUUGACUUGGUCUACACGCCUAAUUUCUUUAAACAGUUUAUUUACGCGUUUAGUCCUUCUUCCUUCUUUGUUCUUUCAAAUUUAUUCAUUUUUAUGUUUCAAUUUUGCCACAUGAUUUUUCUCGUGAUUCAUUUGAGUCCGCAUUAAGGUGUCACGCUUGAGGGUUCGGGGAUAAUUUUCAAGUCAGUCCCUCUCUUUCUCAUGCACGUUCAAUUUGGUUCCAUUUGUUAAUGUGAUGUUUAGUUUUUAGAUCUCAUAUUUUACUUUAAUCUCAAAUUUGUCCUUGCUUUGAUUUCUUUAUUUCUUUUCUGUUUUAUUAUUUUUUAUUUCAAAUCUUUCUAUAUACUAUUCAUUUCAAUUAUUUUUUCUGCUUAAUCUCCUUCCUUUAUGCAUAUAUUAUUUAUAUUAAGUUAUUUUUAUUUUACAAUAUUAUUUAUUUAUGUGUAUAUAUAUGGUUUGGUAUAUUAUCUAUAUUGUCUUGUUUUUUUUACACUUAUUUAUAUGUAAAUAUUUUUUUUUGUAUCAUUAGUUUUGAAUUGUUGUAUUCUAUGUUUUUGUAUAUAAUGUUUUUUAUUAUUAUUUUAUGUAUUUUCUUUUGAAUCUGUUUAUGAUUGCAUGUUUCCUUUUAAAUCUAUAUAUAAUCAAUGUCGUUUAAGGUUAUUUUAUGAUGUGUUGGUGUUUAUUUCAAAUGUUUUUAUAUUUUUAAUUCUAUGAUAUUUUAUUUAUAUAGUUUCUUUAAAAUCUUUAAUGUAUAUUUUCUUUUCAAAUCUGUUGUGUAAAUAUUUUCUUCUAAUUUAUUUUUAUAUAUAUUUUCUUUAAAAUUAUUCGUAUAUAAUUUGGUUCUUUUAUGGAUCAUGUUUUAUAUUGUUUAUUUUAGUUGCUUUGGUAUCUUUGUAUAUAUAUUAUUUUCAUUUAUUAUUUUCAUAUAGAUAUGUAUGCCAUUUGUUAAGUCAAUUUGUUAAUUUAAAAUUAUGUUACAUAUUAUUCAUUCCAAUACAUAUUUUAAUAAUCACUUAUAUAUUAUCCAUUUUCUAUAUGUAUGAGCUAUUUUGAAUUCUAAUAUAUGUUAUCCUUUUGUAUAUUGUUCAUAUGGUUUUUAAAUUUGUUUUGCAUUACAUUGGUUCCUAGUUUCCAUGUAGUUCUAUGUAUUACGUUUUUUUUUCUCUUUUUUUUUUCUUUUUUUUUUUUCUGAUUCGUAUCCACUUAUUAUUGUUUCAUGCUUGUAAUUAUGUUUUAGUUUCUUGUUGCAUCAUUUUUUUCCUUUUUCCAAAAAAUCUCGUAUUUUUGCCCAAUAUUGAUUGCUUUUUACUCUAAAGUAAACCGAACGAAUAUAUUUUAAGCCGAUUUUAUAAUUGCUUAUUUGGGAAACUUUUCAAAACAAGACAAUAUUUCGUGUUUGGGAAGUUCGGAAAUCGUGCCCUAGCGUGUUGGGUUUCGUUUUUUCCGUUUUGUCAAAUAACGGAGUACCCUUUUAAGAGUUUGUUGCGUGUUUUGGAAAUUUAAAGGUGAUCUCAGUUUUUGGAAGCUUAAAGUAUCGUGUCCUAACGUGCUGGAUGUGGUAUUUUAUUUCUUUGGAGUGGGAGAACCUUAAAAUCCAAUUCGAAUUGUUCAUACAAUUUUUAAAGAAAUCGUAUUUUGAAUUUUUUUUCCAAAUUUUCAACGAUGGGACAUUCAAUAAUCAAUUAGUACCAAUUUUGGGCGUCACGAGGGUGCUAACCCUUCCUCGUGCGUAAUCGGCUCCCGAAUCAUUUUUCUUAACUUUCGUAGACUUAAAAUUAUUAUUUAAUAAAUUAAAUAUUUUAUUAAAAUGAUCAACCUCAAGGUGAUCCGAUUCCACCUCAAAAAAGGUUGGUGGCGACUCCAAACUUUCGUUUUUAAAGUCGAUUCUCGUUUUUUUCAAAACUCUUUAAAAAUGGUUUUGACAGCUUGGCGACUCCGCUGGGGACCAAUAAGAGAGUCAAGCCGUAAAAUUGAUUAUUUUCUGUCCUUUUGUCGAAAUUUUAAAAUUUAGAUUUUAACAUACGAUCCUUUUAUUGCAUUUCAUGGGUUUUAUGGUUUUUUUCAUUUGAUUCGUGUUUUGCAUUUUGAGUUUUUUUUAUAUCCCUUCGCAUCAUCUUGCAUGACCGUUGUGGUUGCACCUUUUUAAGUGGGAGUGAAAAACUACGCCUUCGUGAGGUUUUCACCUCCGCAUGGGCUAGUGGACUGCUUCCGGGAUACAUCCGUACCUAUGUCUUCGUGAGGUUUUCACCUCCGCAUGGCCAUAGGGAAAUGUAUUCCCCUGAACUGAACUCGAUCAACAUGAGCCUAUAAUGGGUGAGGGUUAAGGAAUCUACUGGUUCAGGUACCCUUUUCUUAAAACCGAGCUACAUAUAGUGAACUCUAGGAGCUGCCCUAGGUAGAGCUAUGUUGAACCCUAGCGAUUACUCAGUUAAGUGUUUGAUUAUUUUCUAUUUUGCUUUGAUUUUUUUAUUUUUUGAUACUAACUUGUUGUGUUUUGUUGUGAUUAUGUUUUGCAUGUCAUUUCAUAUUAAAGAAGUGUCAAUUUCUGUUCAGUUGCUAAAUUAGAAAGCUUGUUAUGGAGAGCGAAUUCCUUGAUAAAGUAGAGGAUAAUGCGGCUGUCUACAUGUGGUCAGAGAAGAUACAACUUGAGAAAGGGGAUAGCCUAGCUGAGAGGUAUACAUCGAGGUUGUUGGGCUUCACUCGCAUCAAUGUGAACCAAAACGAGUUCCAGGAAUUGAGGGAUAUAUGAGCUCGUUGGGAUGAUGAAACCAAGCAGCUAUUCUAUCAAAGUUAUGGUGAGUUACCCUACCUGCUCGAUAUCAAGGUAGACAAGUACUUGUUUCGGGCUAUGGCUCAGUUUUGGAACCCGGCGUAUAGUUGUUUUACCUUCGGGAAGGUGGACUUGGUGCCUACUGUAGAGGAGUAUACAGCCUUGCUCCGUUGUCCAAAGGUUCAAGUCGACAAAGUUUAUUCCAAAGCUGUUAAUGCCCCAGCUUUCGUAAAGAAGUUAAUGAGUAUCACUGAGAUGAAUGAACAAUGGGUUACAGCUCGAAUUCAGUAAUAAGGUGAUGGUAGGUGCAUUCAUUGGGUAAGUUUGAGGGACUUUAUUGUAGCACAUCCAGAUACAAAGAGGAAAGUUGACGUCUUCGCCUUAAGUAUUUAUGGUUUGGUGAUUUUCUCCAAGACUUUAAGGUAUAUAGAUGAAGCAGUUGUCGAUUUCUUUGAUCGACUUGAUAAAGGGGUCACGCCGGUGCCGGAAAUUCUUGCUGAGACGUUCAGAUCCUUGAGUGCAUGUCGAAGGGCAAGUGAAGGUAGAUUUAUAGGGUGUGCGCAGUUAUUGUUGGCUUGGUUCCACAGCCAUUUCUGGAAGGUGGAUAAGGUUUCCUAUCAGGUUUUUUCUGAGAGUUACUCCCCGUUAAAGGAGAUAGCAGCCAUGUCUAGGAGAGAUGACAUAUCAGAAGAAAAUUGGAUCGCGCUCCUCCGAAAUCUUCAGGAAGAGAAUUUUGAAUGGAGAACUCCUUGGUUUGUUCCUGAUGAGAUCCUCUAUCGGUGUGGGAGUUUUGAUUGGGUACCCCUACUUGGAAUUUAGGGAGCUGUUGGAUAUAGCCCUUUGCUCGUUUUAAGACAAUACACGUCAAGGCAGUUUAUACCGAUGACACAUGGAUUAGCCCAGAGUGAGUUAGCGUAUAAGGAGAAGAAUUAUAAGAAGAAGGUUCAAGAGGUUUUUGAUGCUUGUAAACAGACACACCGGAUGAAGAGAUUGGCUGUUGGAUCAAUGACGACUCCUGAAUACAAGGGGUGGUUGAGUAAAAGAGUGAAUGAAAUAUCCCUGAGCUGAGUUUGGAGUAUGUUCAUAUGAUGGAAGAAUAUUUACAAGUAAUCCCCUUUGAGCUUGAGAUCGUAAAACGAGACUUCGAAGAGAGAAAUGUGGAGUUAGGGAAAAUGAUAGAAUAAUUGGAGGAGGAAAAGAUACAUUUGAGAUUGGACGCUGACGUUCAGCAACUCGAGGCCGAGAAGUUGAGAAAAGGGAAAAUAAAGGUUGAGGAAGACCUGGACAGUUUGAAAACUGAUUACAAGAAGCUACGUAUGUCGAUGAGAACUGCAGGGUUAGGGAAGGCGUCAGAGCAGUGGCGAUAAGAAAUUCAAGAGGAAAAGGCUAGAGCUGAUCAGUGGGAGAAGAGGUUUCAUGAUGCUCGAGCACGUGAAAGCGCCUUAAAGAAGAGCUUGGUUGAAGGCCAAUGUGAGAAAGAAAUGUUGGUAGCUCAUGUAGCAGAGUUGGAAAAGACCCUGCAUCAGCACCGUGGUCGUAACUCUGAUAUUGAAUUAAGAGCCAGCCUGAGUAAGAUUGAAGAUUUGAUAGGGAAGGUAGAAGAGCUCGAGACUGUACUAUAAAACUGUGAGCUUCGAAUUGAAUUACUUGAGUCGAACAAUGAGCAGUGGAAGGAACAACUCCGCCGAUUGCAGGACCAGGUCAUGGAUAGAGAUCACAUCAUGGGUGAAGCCGUGGCUCAGAUUCGAGAAGUGGUUGAUUAUUUACAGACCUUAGCUGUUCAGGCUGAUGUCCUAAAUGUGAACUAUGAGUUAGAGUCGGAUCGAGGUCGUGAACUAGCUUGCCUUCUUAAGAAAGUUAAAGCUUUGAGCAUUAGCGCUAAGCCAUAUAUGUGAUCUAUUUUAUGUAAAGGAUUUUGCUUUUUAAUAAAAAUUUUUAAAUAGAAUUGAAUCAGAAUCGACGUCUCUUUAGUUUUGCGUUCAUUUCAUGCAUUUUCAUUUCAUCGCAUUAUGUGCAUCAAAUUUCACAAAAGAAUCCUGAUUAAAAAAUUGUAUUAUAGUUACCCUAGAACAUCAAUAUUACACACGAAAAAAGACCAAAGCAAUGGAUCAAAGGUUGGAAAAAUUAGAGCAAAUGCAGAAAGAAAUGCAGGAACAGAUGCAAGUAAAAAUGCAAGAGCAAUUAGCUAAGGUCCAACAAGAUAUGAAAGAUCAAAUGCUAGAAUCUCAGAGGAGUAUGAUGAGCGAAUUGACCCAGCUACUAGUUGGAAAGCCGGAAAAAGGGAAGAGUCCUAUGGCCAAUGCUGAGGAUGAUAGCGGGAUUCUUGCUUACCCUCCGGGUUUCACCCCAACAAAUACCCCAGUGCCUCCACAAAGGGUGUCUGUCAGUAUCAAACCCCAAUAUCAGACUGGUACUUCGGCACCGAUAAAUGCCUCGACAGGCUCGUGUUCCAACCCCGAAGACAAUCUUACAAAUCCUACAGUCCCUGACUUCGAUGAGGUCACGGAAGUAGGAAAGGCAGGAGUAGAAUUUCCAAAACGACUAGAAGACCGAUUCAGGUGGUUGGAGGAAAAAUUCAGGGCGUUGGAAAGCGCUGAUUAUCAUUGAGGAAUGAAUGCCACGGAGUUGAGCCUGGUCCCAGAUCUGGUACUCUCUCUGAAGUUUAAAAUGUCAGAAUUUGAAAAAUACAACGGAACCAGUUACCCUGAGGCUCAUAUCACGAUGUUUUGUCGGAGAAUGACUGGGCAUGUCAAUAAUGAUCAGUUAUUGAUCCACUGUUUCCAUGACAGUUUGACUGGGGCUGCAGCUAAAUGGUACAAUCAAUUGAAUCGUAGCCAAGUUAAAUCAUGGAAAGACUUAGCACAAGCCUUUAUGAAACAAUAUGGCCAUGUGACUGACAUAGCGCCUGAUAGGAUCACAUUACAGAACAUGGAGAAGAAGUCAAAUGAAGGUUUUAGGAAAUAUGCUCAGAGAUGGAGAGAAGUUGCUACACAAGUCCAACCGCCAUUAUUGGAGAAAGAAACAACCAUGCUUUUCAUUAAUACCUUGAAGGCACCUUUUAUUAAUCACAUGUUGGGAAGCGCAACUAAGAGUUUUGUGGAUAUAGUUAUGUCUGGUGGAAUGAUUGAGAAUGCAAUAAGGUGCGAAAAGAUAGAGGCAGGGGAAAACACCAGGAGGUCAACCCCGAAAAAGAAAGAAAAUGAAGUCAGCAAUGUGAAUAUGGGUUAUGCGAAACCAAUCAUGGUAAAUCAACCGAAAGCGGUAGCCACGGGCCAACAAGCUUCGCCAAGGCAGGAGCCCAAUACAAAGCAGAACACGGAGAAGCCCCAUUUUACUCCCAUUCCAGUAACGUAUCGAGAGCUGUACAAAAGUUUGUUUGAUGCACACGUCGUAUCUCCUUUUUUAUUUAAAACCACUGCAACCCCUGUACUCCAAGUGGUAUGAUGCAAGUGCUCAAUGUGAAUAUCAUGCUGGAAUCGCGAGACACUAGAUAGAGAACUGCACCUCUUUUAAGAGAGUAGCCGAAAGGCUCAUCAACAUGGGUAUUGUGAAAUUCGAUGAUGCACCUGGUGUAGGGAAUCCGUUACCCAACCAUACUGAUAAAGGGGUAAAUGCUGUAGUCGAGAAUUUGGAGAGGAGAAUUAAGUUGGAUGUGACAGAAGUGAGAACCCCGAUGAGGGAGGUUUUGAAGAAGAUGGUAGAAAGAGGUCUAAUCAUACAAGACUUUGAGAGCAAAUCCCGAGAAGCAGGUAAUUAUUGUGAGUUCCAUGGAGAGGGGGACCAUGAAAUAGAAAAAUGUAAUGAAUUUAGGGCCCUGGUAUAGGCUUUAACGGACAACAAAGAACUGGAGUUCUUUGAGUUUACUGAGAAGGAAGAUGUAUGCACUUCGGAGGAGGGGUUGAUAGAGAAGGUUUCUGAGGUCAAUCACCCAGUGGUGAUCAUUUUGCGACCGAAAAUUAAUGAAGUUGGAGCAAAAAUUAUACCGAGAGUUGUAAUCUAGAGGCCCACGACUUUUCCGUAUAAGGAUAACAAAAGGGUGCCUUGGAAUUACAACUGUAAUGUGACAUAUCCAGGGGAGGAGAGUCUGGUCAGCACGCCAAGUACAAAGAUCGAGCCUGGAAAAGGGAAGUCUGUGAUGAUUGAACAAAGGAAAGAGAGGACGAAACCACUGGUCAAUGAACCAGUAACUGAAGGUGAAGCUAAAGAAUUUUUGAAGUUCCUAAAACACAGUGAGUAUAGUGUUGUGGAAUAGUUGUAAAAGUAGUCGGCACGUACAUCGAUACUAGCUCUGCUCCAAAACUCGGAGGUUCACUGAAAUGCGUUGAUGAAGGUGUUGAACGAGACCUAUGUCGCUGAAGAUAUUUCAGUGAACAAGCUAGACCGCCUUAUCAGUAACAUAAGCACCAAUAACUUCAUCUCCUUCAGUGACGAUGAAAUAUCACUAGGGGGCAUGGGAUUCACCAAGGCUUUGCACAUCACCAUUCGCUACAAAUGGUAUACACUGCCGGGGGUAUUAAUUAAUAAUGGCCAGACAAAUCAUGAGAUUCGGGUACUAUUGGUCCACAAUGGAAGGAGAUUGCAUCAGCUAUGCCAAGAAAUGCCAUAAUGCCAAAUUUAUGGUGACAAAAUCCACGUGCCUCCUUCACCCCUUCAUGUCAUGACUUCUCUGUGGCCUGUUUCAAUAUGAGGCAUGGACGUUAUUGGGCCGAUUUCACCGAAGGCUUCUAAUGGGCAUCGAUUCAUCUUUAUGGUCAUUGAUUACUUCACCAAGUGGGUAGAGGCUACUUCAUAUGCCAAUGUCACAAAGUCGGCAGUAGCAAGUUCUUGAAAAAAGAAAUCAUAUGUAGAUAUGGCAUGCCAGAAAGAAUCAUAUCUGACAACGCGUUGAAUUUGAAUAACAGUGUGAUAGUGGAGGUUUACAGCCAGUUCAAGAUUAAGCACUACAACUCGUCACCUUAUCGCCCAAAAAUGAAUGGUGCGGUUGAGGCAGCCAAUAAGAAUAUCAAAAGGAUCGUGGGAAAAAUGACUGAGACCUACAAGGAUUGGCAUGAAAAGUUACCAUUUGCUCUUUAUGCUUAUCGAACAUCUGUUAGAACUUCUACCGAAGCAACGCCUUACUCAUUGGUUUAUAGGAUGGAGGCAGUUUUGCCCAUUGAAGUCGAAAUUCCUUCUCUCCGGGUUUUAUCAGAGUUGAAGCUAGACGAAGCAGAAUAGAUUCAGUCUCGGUAUGAUCAGCUGAACUUAGUUGAAAAAAAGAGACUGAAGGCUAUUCGUCAUGGUCAAAUGUACCAGAGGCGAAUGAUGCAAGCUUACAAUAAAAAGGUUUGCCCCAGAGUAUUCCAUGAGGGGGACUUGGCAUUAAGACAAAUUCUCCCUAUGCAAAAAAAUUUCAGAGGGAAAUGGAUGCCAAACUGGGAAGGACCUUACAUGGUAAAGAAGGCUUUUUCUGGAGGAGCACUGAUAUUAAUUGAGAUGGAUGGUAGGAGCCUGUCUAACCCAGUAAAUUCGGAUUCAGUCAAGAAGUACUUCGCUUAAGAGGUGAAAACCCGCAAAGGGCACCUAAAAAAAAGGAGAGGCCGAGGUGGAAACCCGCAAAGGGCACCUUGAGACCAAAUGGGUUUUUGAAUUGAAAACCCGAAAAGGGCAAUUCAAAUUUUGACCAAGGAUGGGCCAGGUGGUAGUCUUGCUAUGCUGGAAAUAAUGAAGAGAAAGUAAGUAUGUCUUGGGGCAUCGACAAAAUACGUUAGAUCUUCUAGACACAUGAUAAGCUCAAAAUUGUCCUCGUGGAGUUCAUACAGAGGAGCUUAGGCUGCAAUAUCUGGGGCGUUCAUUUUUGUUCCCCUUACCUAUUUUUAUACUCUGACAAUAUUUGCUUCCUAUAAUUAAUCCAUUUUCUUGAAACUUGUCCCUAAUAAACUUUAGUUUUGUCCAUAUUUAUCUUUAUGAUCACGUGCUUGUAUUGAAAUAACGAUUAAGGGACUAAUAAUACUUUUGCAAAUGAGGUUUUGCAUAUUACUCUGAAAGUUUUUAAAUUAUAUAAGAACCUGAAACAGGACUAUCGUUUAAAACUUACCCAGUUUAGGGGUGGAAUAUUUGUGUUCAAAUUGGGAUUAUCUCUUCAGAUUUUCAAUCAAAGAUAUUGAUUGGAUAAGAAAACAGGAUAUUAUGUCAACCAAAGCAUUAAAGAUAAUCAUGAUAUUUCUCAUUAAUACAAAUGUUGGGCGAACACAUCUGGUCAUGACACUCGAGGAGUGGUGUAAUAGACCAAGUUGAUGAAAGUUUCUAGGUGACAAGGGGGGUUUGAAGAUGGUACAAACCUUAUAGUGGAAGAGACUUUGAAACUACAGUGGGGCAAGCCUGUUGAGCAAAAUGAGUUAUUUUUACAGGUUUUGUUGAGAAAUGCUAGUCGAGCAAGAAGGCAUCAUAACACGAUGAUGAUAAAGCUCUGAUAAAUAACAAGUGAUGACACUUAAAGUUUUUAAAAAGAAAGAAAAAGAAAAAAGAAAUCAUUUUCAUUUCUACAGUCAUAUCAUUCAUAACACAUUUGGUUAGGAGCAUCUGAUUCAUUUCGAUCUUAGCGUUCUAAUCAUUUGGCAUAAACAUAAACAUAAAACCGAGUCUGCAGGGCAUGUUUCCUAGAGGACAAUGUGGCGACAUUGGUGAAAAUUACAGAUCUUAUCUCCAUGUAUCGGCUAUGGAGCAGAUCAGAAACGGUGAGUCUUAUCUCCAUGUAUCAGCUAUGGAGUAUAUUUUAGCCACCAGCCUUAUCUCUCUGAAGUUGCAGUGGAGCAGGUUGAAGAUACAAGUCUUAUCUUUCUGAAGUUGCAGGAAGUAGACUAAAAAUUACAGAUCUUAUCUCCAUGUAUCGGCUAUGGAGCAGAUCGAAAAUGGCAAGUCUUAUCUCCACGUAUUGGCUAUGGAGUAGAUUUUAGCCACCAGCCUUAUCUUUCUGAAGUUGCAGUGGAGCAGGUUGAAGAUACAAGUCUUAUCUUCCUGAAGUUACAGGAAGCAGACUAAAAAUUACAGAUCUUAUCUCCAUGUAUCGGCUAUGGAGCAGAUAAAAAAUGGCGAGUCUUAUCUUCAUGUAUCGGUUAUGGAGUAGAUUUUAGCCACCAUCCUUAUCUCUCUAAAGUUGCAGAGGAGCAGAUUGAAGAUACAAGUCUUAUCUUCCUGAAGUUGCAGGAAGUAGACUGAAAAUUACAGAUCUUAUCUCCAUCUAUCUGCUAUGGAGCAGAUCGAAAAUGGCGAGUCUUAUCUCCAUGUAUCGGCUAUGAAACAAAUCAAAGAUGGCGAGUCUUAUUUCCAUGUAUCGGCUAUGGAGCAGAUUUUAGCCACCAUCCUUAUCUCUCUGAGGUAGCAAAGGAGCAGAUUGAAACAACAAUUUCCAUACCUUUGAAUAUGCGGUGGAUUAAAACGAGGCUACGUAAGGAAAAAAAAUAUCAAGAAGUCAAGACUUAGUAAGACCGGGAAAAACUGGCCCUUUUGAAGUUUUUGCUCUGUUCUCGUUACACGACAAUGGGCAAAAAGAGGCAGCUAUAAGACCCAAUUUUAGCCCGAGCUACUUAAUUCCAGCCCAAUAAAUAAAACCUAAAAAAAAAUCCAAAAAGAGUCCAAAAUUACAAAAACAACAAACCCAAUUAUAAGUCCAAAAUAAACCUAACCCUAUGGCCCAAACAGCCCAAAAAUAAACUAACUUUUCAGCAAAAAAGAGAAUAGCUGCUGCUCCCCUCCACCACGCACGUCAGCGCACCUUGCACGUCUGGCCAUCUCGCGUGUAGCACGACCCACGCCCCACGUUCACCAUACCUGCAACUAGUAGAAACAAAGAAACCAUUGUAAAGUUGGCUAUAAAAAGGUCACGAAUUUUCAUUUGUAAGGGUUUUUUUUUUUUGGAGAAAAAGAGAAUACAAGUUGUAAUAUAAAACACACAAAAAAAUCAGUAGAAAAGGACCAAAAAAUAUUUUCAAAAGUGAAUAUUUACUGCAAUUUUUUUUGUGUUGUUUCUUCUUUUUCCAUAUUUUUUCAUUUCCAUUCGGAUCCAUAUACGAAAAUAUAAAAAGAACGGGGAGGGGAACUUACCGACGCGGCGCAAGAGAAACCUUUGAAUUCGAAGUUUGGCUCAAAAUGGUGGUCUGUCGAAGAAGAGGAAAAGAUGAGAAAGUGAAGGAGAAGAGUUUCAAAACUUUAGGUUUUUUUUUAAGGAAAAAGUUGAAAUGUUUUCUAAAAAAGUGAUUUUUUAAAGCAGGUUUCAAUUUUAG
RNAcentral lists this long non-coding RNA (13014 nucleotides) under Gossypium barbadense (sea-island cotton). RNAcentral's name for it is "long non-coding RNA (GBAR_LNC004933)". Lineage: Eukaryota; Viridiplantae; Streptophyta; Magnoliopsida; Malvales; Malvaceae. The record is from RNAcentral.